This 415-nucleotide ribosomal RNA is filed under the name Chlorella sp. NUA-2014-3. Its description in RNAcentral is "bacterial SSU rRNA". It matches the Rfam family "Bacterial small subunit ribosomal RNA", at positions 357 to 788 of the family's 1533-position model. Lineage: Eukaryota; Viridiplantae; Chlorophyta; Trebouxiophyceae; Chlorellales; Chlorellaceae. The record is from RNAcentral.
GGGAAUUUUCCGCAAUGGGCGAAAGCCUGACGGAGCAAUGCCGCGUGAAGGAUGAAGGCCUAUGGGUUGUAAACUUCUUUUCUCAGAGAAGAAAUUUUGACGGUAUCUGAGGAAUAAGCAUCGGCUAACUCUGUGCCAGCAGCCGCGGUAAGACAGAGGAUGCAAGCGUUAUCCGGAAUGAUUGGGCGUAAAGCGUCUGUAGGUGGCUUAAAAAGUCUCCUGUCAAAGAUCAGGGCUUAACCCUGGGCCGGCAGGAGAAACUCUUAGGCUAGAGUUGGUAGGGGCAGAGGGAAUUCCCGGUGGAGCGGUGAAAUGCGUAGAGAUCGGGAGGAACACCAAAGGCGAAAGCACUCUGCUGGGCCAUUACUGACACUGAGAGACGAAAGCGAGGGGAGCAAAAGGGAUUAGAUACCCC